Molecule: long non-coding RNA, 1033 nt
Filed under: Homo sapiens (human)
Lineage: Eukaryota; Metazoa; Chordata; Mammalia; Primates; Hominidae
Description: HSALNT0001979
Source: RNAcentral
CUUAGUGAAGAUAGUCAGACCUCGUGGGAUGGAAAUAGAGGCUGAACAGCACACAGAGAUGCAGAGCCAUCCUGUGAAUAUUUUGGUCUAAGCUGGGGUAAGUCCUUUUCUCAAGGUCCUGACCAGGUCCUUAGGAAUAUGCUGAGCUUAAAACCCUUCCCUUUAAGUUUUUGAAUCUCAAAGAAAAGUGUCCUUUGGAGAUGUUGGAUGAAAGUUGAACAUCGGUAGGUGAAACUCUUUGAGCACUUUGCAAACUACUGCAGCCAGACAGCUCUUUGCAUGAAUUCUGAACUGAAGAAUGUCAUUCAAAUUCUUCUGGGCCCAUUUUCUACCACUCCAAAAGGAAAUGCCCAGAGGAAGGGAAGCCUUGGGAAAACAGAAAUAUUAGGAGGAAGCUGUGAUUUCCAAAUGGCAAGACAGCCCCACCAUCAAUACUUGAAGUUGGUAAGGGCUCCCCUUCUGACAUUAGCAUCUAUUAUCUUCCUGGCUGAAUUCUUCCCUAAAGGGCGCUCGGCAUCCCUAGGUGGUUGCCAGUGUCAAGGCAACCUCACCAACUGUGAAGGUAUCCUGAGCUCCUGGAACAGGCAGAAAAGAAACCUGGCAGGAAGAUUUGGAGGUGGCUGCAAGCUGGCCUGACUUCUGCAGUGAAACAAGUCCCAGGAGCUGGAGGUACACCAUGCUGAGCUCCUGUUUCCUUGGUAGUAAGAGGAGGGGGACUUCCUGGCCUAAGACACAUCUUUCAGGUUGGAGUUGUAAUGACAGUGGUAAUUUUCAACUGUGGAUUAUUGUAAGCUGUUCCAAGCAAGCAUGGAUGACUCCAUUUCAUGGACUGCAGAAAUUCUGUGCCUGUCCUGUCCAGUGAUUGAGUCAUAUCUGGUGCAGGGUAUGGACAAAACAUCUGUAAAAGAAACAGCCCGUAGUAUACAAUAAGAAGGUAAAGAUGUCAAAUAUUUUUAUCUUUUAUUUUUCAGGUAACAAAAAUAUUUUUUUUCCAGACAAAAUCUCCCUUGGAAAUUCACUAUACUAUAUGUAA